UUUGUGCGGAGGGAAUUAUAUUCAGAGCAAAAUCUAAUCCACACGUGGGAAAUGAUCAACUACACUUUUUUUUGAUAAAAAAAAAUUAGAUCGGAAUCUAUUAAAUAUACAUAUCUAAUUUUUAGGUGGGAGGUGCAAUUUACGGACAGACCUUCUCACGGAUAUUUAAAUGGGCCGAAAAUUAUAAAACUGAAGUAUUUCAUUGGUAAAACCAUGUUGUUGUUUUUUUUUAACAAAAUCGCCUAGGAAUCUAUAUAUAAUAGCAAACCUAAUUUUGUUUUCAGCAUUUUUUAAUAGGAAAAAAAAGAAGUUUGAUCUAAGAUUGAUGCACCUCUUCUCUGAUCGACGCACCUUUUUACGGUGACCUCUUUUGAUACGGGAACGACGCACCUUUUAAACUGAUUAUUAGAUUGAAGUACUGGUUAGAGUCGCUAUUUUUUUUCUGAGAACGCUUCUCAAUCGAAGUCCCAAGGAAAAGCUUUGGUUCCUCAUCAUGCUCUGCUCUAACCGGCCAACUCGAUGGCUACAAUUGAUUUCUAAUAUAUCUCGCCGCGAAUCUAAACCGCCACCACCGUCUUCAUUGAUGAUGAGACUGACGUUAUAAAGUUGAUGAGAGAGAAGAGCAAGAAGUAGAAGAAGAAAGUUGUUGCGGUGACAACGCUGCCAUGGAUGGAAUUGAAAGGCUCAAUUUCAAGAAAAUAAGAUACGGAGGAUAGAUCAUGUCAUCUGAUGUUGAGGCUCAACUACGACGCCAAUUUGGAAGCUUCGUCUGUUACAUCUUGUGCUGUUUCUUGGGUCGGAAGCAACCGGGGCAGACGUCAAGUGCUGGUUCCAUAUCGAUGGCAAGAGAAUCAAGAUAUCUAAUGAAUAUUUAUACGCUGCAGUCUGAGUAGGCUUGUGAAUGUGAAUGUGAUUGUAUUGCAGAUCCAGCAUCACCCCUGGGACACUACUGAUCAUCCUUGCUGGUAGGUUCAAGGGCAAGAGAGUUAAUUUUUUUUAACCAACUACCCUCUGUUUUUCUUUUUGUGACCGAUCAAUGAUUGCCACGUCCUGAAAGUCUCUGAUGUUAGCCUCGAUAAAUAUGAUGAUCAUUAUUUUGGAAAGGUAGGCGAGAGGAAGAACAAGAAGGGAGAAGGAGAGUCUCUGAUGGAGCCGUGGAUCUAUAUAUCUGAAUUAUAAACACCUAAAGGCAAAAUUCAAAAAGUGUACUAUUUAUAGUACUCAAGUUUAUUGUUUUCUGCUAGGCUUCAAUCUCAAGCUCUCCCUUGUACUUAUUCACUUCUUUCCUCUUCCUCUGCGUGUUGCCUUUCUCUCGUGUCCUUACUUAUACACUCCAAUGUAUCAGAGUCUUCGAGGCAGAGAGAGAGAGAGAAAGUGCCUACACAUAGGGAAAACGACGACCAGAUGGCUGUGGACGGAGCUUUGAUCAAAGCCAUCGAGGUAGUUUCAGAGUUGAAUACUUGCCUUUGCACAGUUUUCAUUGCACAAGGAAUGGAGCCACAUAAGCUUGUUUUCUAGAUUUUAAAACCUUUUAUGAGCAUCUUAGGUAUAUGUGCCCUCAUGCGUUACUCUUUUUUUGUUCUUGUCCACAUACCAAAGAUAUUUUGACUUUUUUUUUUUUUUUGGUAUAAAUGUUAAAUUUUAUUACCAAUUUUUGAUUUUGACAGAAUUACAAGAGUUACAAGAAACAAAAUGCAGAAAUGAAACUAAACACAAACUAAUCUAAGACUCAAUCUAAUCUAAGCAAGGCCUACUACAAGCAAAUCAACAACCUAGUGGACACAACAAAGUUGGAACAACCACUUGCCACAAAAGAGAAACUGCAUUAAGCACGAGAGCUGAGCCCGGUAGAAAUUGGCAGUACCCGAUGAAAAACUCUAAGGAUCAACUCCUCAAGAAUAGCUUGUGAGAGACCUCUCAAUCAGCAGCACAAGGAGAGAACACCCGAGCAAGCACUCGCUCAGACAUGACGAGCAUUUAUUUGGAGGAAAAGACCAUAAGUCGAGGUCCCUCACCGAACAAGAAACACGGGUUGAGAAGAGGCUGAUUCGCCUAGAAGCGAUACGGUACCUGCAACCAAGAAGAACGGAGAUCCUCCUAUCAAACACUGCUGAAACAGCAAGCUUCGAUACUGGGAUGGAGGAGAUCCAAAGACGCCGCCACAGAAUGAAAUUGAGCUUUUCUGACCACAAAAACUUGACAGACAUCCACACCAUUCUCCUUUUAGAACAAUAGGAAGAUUCUUCUAGGACUGAGAGAGAGAAACUCGGUGACAGAACGAGCUCUACAAAAACCAGUGAGAACGGGUAACCAAAACCCAACAACCAGAGAGGCCAACUCUAUUGUGGGCUCACCGCCAGACAAACCAGCAAGCCGGAACAAACAAAGACCGAAGAAGAUAAUACCAAACUGACGAUGCCAAAGCAACUACUACUCCACGCGCCUCCGAACCGGAUACCUACACGCGCCGCCGAGAUACAUCUCCUGACACCACCAAGAAACUCAACACGACGCACGCCUUGAUGUUGUGAAACACUGAAGUUCAGCUUGAGAAAGAGGGAAGGCAGCUCCUUGUCGAGACACCAAGACAAAGGAGCGGACACCUACCACCUACACUCCACACCGACAAAGA
Brassica napus (rape) is the source of this 2632-nucleotide long non-coding RNA. RefSeq lists it as uncharacterized. Lineage: Eukaryota; Viridiplantae; Streptophyta; Magnoliopsida; Brassicales; Brassicaceae. The record is from RefSeq and is a predicted model, not a curated record. The transcript is spliced from 5 exons.